This 30-nucleotide small RNA is filed under the name Bombyx mori (domestic silkworm). RNAcentral describes it as "ovarian small RNA-13302". Lineage: Eukaryota; Metazoa; Arthropoda; Insecta; Lepidoptera; Bombycidae. The record is from RNAcentral.
CAGGCUAUAAAGCCGUGACCUGCCCCUCUA